Molecule: ribosomal RNA, 483 nt
Filed under: uncultured bacterium
Lineage: Bacteria
Description: partial 16S ribosomal RNA
Rfam family: Bacterial small subunit ribosomal RNA
Source: RNAcentral
UUGAACGCUGGCGGCAGGCUUAACACAUGCAAGUCGAGCGGGGAAAGGUAGCUUGCUACCUGACCUAGCGGCGGACGGGUGAGUAAUGCUUAGGAAUCUGCCUAUUAGUGGGGGACAACAUCUCGAAAGGGAUGCUAAUACCGCAUACGUCCUACGGGAGAAAGCAGGGGACCUUCGGGCCUUGCGCUAAUAGAUGAGCCUAAGUCGGAUUAGCUAGUUGGUGGGGUAAAGGCCUACCAAGGCGACGAUCUGUAGCGGGUCUGAGAGGAUGAUCCGCCACACUGGGACUGAGACACGGCCCAGACUCCUACGGGAGGCAGCAGUGGGGAAUAUUGGACAAUGGGGGAACCCUGAUCCAGCCAUGCCGCGUGUGUGAAGAAGGCCUUUUGGUUGUAAAGCACGUUAAGCGAGGAGGAGGCUACCGAGAUUAAUACUCUUGGAUAGUGGACGUUACUCGCAGAAUAAGCACCGGCUAACUCUGUG